This 433-nucleotide ribosomal RNA is filed under the name uncultured bacterium. RNAcentral describes it as "partial 16S ribosomal RNA". It matches the Rfam family "Bacterial small subunit ribosomal RNA", at positions 29 to 507 of the family's 1533-position model. The record is from RNAcentral.
AACGAACGCUGGCGGCAUGCCUAACACAUGCAAGUCGAACGAGACCUUCGGGUCUUGUGGCGCACGGGUGCGUAACGCGUGGGAACCUGCCCUUAUGUUCGGAAUAACUCCCCGAAAGGGGUGCUAAUACCGGUUAAUGUCUUCGGACCAAAGAUUUAUCGCCUUUGGAUGGGCCCGCGUUGGAUUAGCUAGUUGGUAGGGUAAAAGCCUACCAAGGCGACGAUCCAUAGAUGGUCUGAGAGGAUGAUCAGCCACACUGGGACUGAGACACGGCCCAGACUCCUACGGGAGGCAGCAGUGGGGAAUAUUGGACAAUGGGCGAAAGCCUGAUCCAGCAAUGCCGCGUGAGUGAUGAAGGCCUUAGGGUUGUAAAGCUCUUUUACACGGGAUGAUAAUGACAGUACCGGGAGAAUAAGCUCCGGCUAACUCCGUG